This 460-nucleotide ribosomal RNA is filed under the name uncultured bacterium. RNAcentral describes it as "partial 16S ribosomal RNA". It matches the Rfam family "Bacterial small subunit ribosomal RNA", at positions 338 to 795 of the family's 1533-position model. The record is from RNAcentral.
CCUACGGGUGACAGCAGUGAGGAAUAUUGGUCAAUGGACGCAAGUCUGAACCAGCCAUGCCGCGUGCAGGAAGACGGCCCUAUGAGUUUUAAACUGCUUUUGUACGAGGGUAAAUCCCGAUACGUGUAUCUGGGUGAAAGUAUCUUACGCAUAAGGAUCGGCGAACCCCGUGCCAGCAGCCGCGGUAAGACGGAGGAUUCAAGCGUUAUCCGGAUUUAUUGGGUUUAAAGGGUGCGUAGGCGGUUCGAUAAGUUAGAGGUGAAAUCCCGGGGCUCAACUCCGGCACUGCCUCUGAUACUGGCAGGCUAGAGUUUAGUUGCGGUAGGCGGAAUGUAUGGUGUAGCGGUGAAAUGCAUAGAGAUCAUACAGAACACCGAUUGCGAAGGCAGCUUACCAAACUACGACUGACGUUGAGGCGCGAAAGCGUGGGGAGCAAACAGGAUUAGAUACCCGUGUAGUC